CGAAGUACUGCAGUCGCAAACACGGGAAAUAAGAUGCAGACGUCCCACAGGCCUGUGCAGUGGCUCGCUGUCAUGCUUCUUGUCAUUGUUACAACAGUCCAGGGCCAACAAAGCGACAGUCGCCGAGCUGUGACCGAACACCAGCUGAUGCACGACCGCGGCCGAACCAUCCAGAGUCUCAAGAGACUCUUCUGGCUGUCCAGCGCAAUUGAGGGUCUCCACACAGCACAGACCCGCUCUGCUGCUUUCAGCCCCACAAAGGUCUUAAAUCUGGCUCUGAAUCCAGAGCUGAUCCCUGAUGAUGGAAACCCCCAGAAUGCCCAAGUCAGGAGCCUCCUGAGAGACUUCUCUAAUCUGUACCUGUCAAACGGAGACGACUAACAAUGCACAGAAGCAAAACAUGAAGCUGAACAUAUAUAAAAAAUUUAUUGUAUCAAUUGUUUGAAUAAUAAAAUGCACAAAAAGCACAACUACAAAAUCAUCCCGAGUGCCCAAAGCACCCAUUCAGCUGCAGAUGUGUCUCAAGUGUUUAAAAGCAGCUGUAAGUUUAAGUUUAGUUAAUAGAGCUGCAUGAAAGUGUACCAGUGGGUAUAGUGGUAAGGUUUCAAUGUAGGACUGCAUACGUCUAUAUGACUGCAUAGGCUUUAAAAAAUAUUUAUUGGGGUUUUUUGAUGUUGUUGUUUUUUAAUCAUGACUGAAUAUCACACGUUAAGGCAAACACGACAAAUUAUCUAGAAAACGAAUAUAAAACUUGUGGGUUAUUGCAGACUUUUUUCAAUAUGCAGCUUUAGUUUUAGGACCAGCACAUUCAUGUGUUUGAAAUUUCAUAACUGCAGAUGAUGCCUGGAAAACCCAAAGUCACAACAGACCAAACUGUGACAGAUAAAAGAUACAUGAUUUAGUCUGUUAUAUAUUUAUUCAUGGAAAAAUACGCUUUUUUUGUUCAGAUAUUUUAAAAAAAGUCAUACUUAUACUAAAAUGGACAGUUUAAAUUGUGACGUUCUUUUUUUGACCAUUUCCCUACAGCUGGUUACCUGGUUAAGUUGAAUAGGCUUACUUUUUGUAAACGAAAUGCUGUAACCCUUUAGUUUUCAAAUUUGGGAAAAAAAAUGACCACCUGGUAACAGCAAGCAUAUAUAUUUAAAAGACUAUAUGCAGAUUUUUCCUGUAUAAAUUCUUUGAAUUAUAAACACAUCACCCCCGAUAUAUAAAAGCUAUAAUAGGUCACCCAGCUCUGCUACAUAUUUCAGCUCUCAUUCUUGUCCAUCAAAUGCAAAUAUACAAAUUUUUGUUUCGGCAGAAAGAUGGCGAAAGUAUGAAGCCUAGAAAAAAGUGUGGGACAGAGACACUUUCAGAACCCGCACAAAGGCAUGUAGCAGUUUUAAAGAACCUGAUCUGGAUGAGAACCAAAAUUUAUUGGGUUCUUUUAAAUAGUUUUUAUGUGAUUUUGCUGGCAGAGAAGCAGCAUGGGAUUCCCAAAUACAUUUGGGAGAAAACAACGCUCCUACUUCAACAAAACUUAAAUUGCGUAAAUUGGUUAAUUUGUUUUUUUUAAAUACCCUCUUUAAUGUCCACCUUAUAACAUAAAAAUAGCAUUUUAAUUAUGUUAUCUUCUUGUAAUGUUAAAAGGUCCUUGAAGCAUUAGACAUAUUUACAUACCUGCAGCUAUGCCUUUCCCACACCUCAGUAGUGCUUUUUUUUUUUAUCAUUAACUGAAAUGUUUUCAGGUUGGUCUCUUUUGUCCUUUAUUGUGCUGCUUUGAGCAAAUUUGCCUGAUGCACAACAGUGUUGUUGAUUUUUUGGAGGUGUCCGUUGCUCUGCAUCCUACAGCUGCCCAUAGCAUCCCUCUCUGCACAGUUUUUGCAGGGAGUCUAACCUGAACUUAACACGCAUCGUAGCACUGUGUGCUAUGAUAAGUUCUGAAUAAAGAACCCGAGAAAGUAAAUGCAGAGGUAACAGCAAGCUUUAAGUCGAACAGAGUAACAGAAAAAUUGAAAAAACUAAGCUGAACACAUUUUGAGACAGCAGCAUCGCACAGGAACGCAGCCAGUCUGACAAAAGCAAAGGCAAAACUAUUGAAAACCACACAGAAAGACGCAGACUACAAGGAGACCACAGAGAUUUAAGAGGUGCCCCUGAAUGUAAGCAUCUCCAUCCAACGAUUACAAAAAGUCCUAUUGUCCAAUGAGUAUUAUACAGUAACCAAGACCCAAACAAAGAUGUGUUGCCUAACAAAACAAGGAUGUGGCUGCAGGUGAAGACCAUGUUAUAUGUACAGCAGAAAAGGCUGCUGUAAUUGAACAUAACUCUCUAUUGAGCGUUAUGUUCAAUUACAGCAGCAUGGUCUGAUUUAACUCCUAUACUGAAAGCUGACUGAGGAUUUUGACUUUCAGCCUUUUCAGUGAAUUCGUGUUACAAAGUGAACGAUUACAGACACAAAAAAGCCUGCAAUACAGGAAGGAAUGAGGGGCUUUAGGCUGCAGUUACUACAUUCAAGAAGACUGAUGCAACUGUGUAAGAGGGAGAGGAAAGGAGGGAAAUGAUGACUCCUUUAGAUCUUAUUGCAAAUAUUUGAAAUCAUUUGCAUUUGGCUUUGUGCAACUUUUAUGCAGCUGUCAGCAUGUUGGAAAAUGCGCAUGGUCAUUGUGCUUUUCUUGGCUGCGUUAGACCAGUGCUUUGUGUAAAAUAAAAUCAGUGCGUUGUGGUUGGUUCAGUUGUGAAAAUGCAAAACUGUGUUAAGUUUAACAUGUCAUAUAGUGCAGCUUGAAUUUACCCAGAGUCUCAGUAACAUUUACAAAUUUGUGUGAUCAGUGUAUAAAGAAAUGUGCAAGUAUGUAUGCAACACUAAU
Long non-coding RNA from Maylandia zebra (zebra mbuna), 2849 nucleotides. RefSeq lists it as uncharacterized. The record is from RefSeq and is a predicted model, not a curated record. Lineage: Eukaryota; Metazoa; Chordata; Actinopteri; Cichliformes; Cichlidae.